CGUGCUCGCAGGGGCUCGCCACAGAACGGCUCGGGGAAGUGACGGCUGAGUCUCACGUUUUGUGGCCGCGGUCUCUGUCUCUCUCGGCCGGAGGUACUUAGGUGUUUGCAAGCCGCGAAGAGGUUGAUACAGCGCAGACCGGCACGGAUGGCUGGGGCGAAGUCGGUUAAGGUCUUUGUUGAGUAUUGUGGUGGAUGAGGGUACAUCACUCGCUUCGAGGAACUGAAGAAGCAGAUCCUCGCCAAGGUACCCACCGCCAGCGUGACUGGCAGUAUAGGACGCAAAACGGCCUUUGAAGUUGAAAUCAAUGGUGUCCAGGUGUUCUCCAAGCUGGAAAAAAAUGCCUUUCCAGAUUUUGCGGAGGUUGCCACUCGAGUUUUGGAGGCCAGCCAAGGCAAAUCGAUCAAGGCUGUAACUGGUGUCCAAAAAUAGCCCUGAGGGUCGCACUCUCAUGCAUGUGGUCGGCUUACAACUUUUCCGCUAAUCUACCAUGCAGUUGGCAACCUUGGAACAAUAGCUGAAGGUCCUGGAAGGUGCACCGAUGAUGGCUCGAUCACAAAUCUCAAAACGGGUCUUGCCUGAAGAAUUAGCACCUCCCUGCCCAAUGCUUCUUGCUCUAAUAAUUCACGUAUAGACUAUGCAGUAGAAAAUGCAUCUAUUUUUUACACCCUGUGUGUGGUUUUCUGAGGUUAUAUAACUUUUUGAAAUUUGGAACUGGCUUACUACGUAAAAAAGACACACAGUUAUAGUCCGACUCAUAUCAAAACCUUACCUUCAUUUUGCAGCCAGUGAUGGCUAAAUAACAUUACAUCUAUGAUGUAUUGUUAAAGGCUGAUGUGUACCUGUUAUAUUUUAAGUAUGUAUCGGUAGAAUGGAAUGACUCGGUUGCAAAAACAUGCGACUACACAGCAUGCUUACAUUUGGCAUGCUUGGCCUUGCACAGGCUUCACGGAUAUGUUGCUUCUGUUAUACAACAACAAACACAGUAACUUUCUUGCUAGCUUGUACAAUGUGCAUUUCAGCACGUAAUACAAGCCAAGUGGCAUGAUUAGUUAGAAGCGGGUCAGUGAAGACAGCAAGGAUAAUAAGCACUUCACAUUAUCUGUACCUAAUCGUCAAUGGUUGUUUUUAAAUAGCCUCAAUCUUACCCAGUUUAUCAGGCUCAAUUGUACACAAAACUAGCUGUCAACACCUUCUACACCCUGACGCACCUCAGGCAUCAGGUUCACUGAUGCCUGACGGAAUCUAGUGGGAAACGAGACACCGUUUGUCCUUAAGAAUAUCAGCUGCUUGAGACCAUGAAGUCUGCUUUGCAAGCAGAUGUGCAGCAAAAAUUAUUGCUGCAGUCCCACAAGUGCCAAUCUGCCAUCAGAUAUUCUAGCUGGUAGUGCUCGAAAAGACAAGCUGCAAUUGUAAAUCUAGUGCUACAUUCCUUCAUGGUGAAACAAACGCAAUAUGCAUGAGAACUUGGAAAGAACACAGGACAGAGUGCUUACUAGCUAACGAAAAUUUUAUUUCGGAAAGAACAUUCUUAUUAUGCAUCACACGAAUGCACAUCACCGUAAACCACCCUUACUAUCAUAAAAAGUGUGAAUCAACGAAAGAUCGUUAUGAUAAACGAUUGCAUACGGCGGGGAAACAUUUGUCAAACCCCGAAAAUAACAAGAAGAGAAAUUCACCGAGUCACAUUACGUCCAAAAAAGCCAGCUCAUAAUCUGUUUGGGGAUGAGACGCCUGGCUGAUGCACUUAUCACCUGCUUUUGUCAUUAAAAAAGCUUAAAUUAUUUCUCUCA
RNAcentral lists this long non-coding RNA (1793 nucleotides) under Rhipicephalus microplus (southern cattle tick). RNAcentral's name for it is "uncharacterized LOC119172156". Lineage: Eukaryota; Metazoa; Arthropoda; Arachnida; Ixodida; Ixodidae. The record is from RNAcentral.